Molecule: ribosomal RNA, 251 nt
Filed under: uncultured bacterium
Lineage: Bacteria
Description: partial 16S ribosomal RNA
Rfam family: Bacterial small subunit ribosomal RNA
Source: RNAcentral
ACGUAUGGUGCAAGCGUUAUCCGGAUUUACUGGGUGUAAAGGGAGCGUAGACGGGUGGGCAAGUCUGAUGUGAAAACCCGGGGCUCAACCCCGGGACUGCAUUGGAAACUGUUCAUCUAGAGUGCUGGAGAGGUAAGUGGAAUUCCUAGUGUAGCGGUGAAAUGCGUAGAUAUUAGGAGGAACACCAGUGGCGAAGGCGGCUUACUGGACAGUAACUGACGUUGAGGCUCGAAAGCGUGGGGAGCAAACAG